UAGUCCACGCUGUAAACGAUGAGAACUAGACGUUGGGUGGAUUACCGCUCAGUGUCGUAGCUAACGUAUUAAGUUCUCCGCCUGGGGAGUACGACCGCAAGGUUGAAACUCAAAGGAAUUGACGGGGGCCCGCACAAGCGGUGGAGCAUGUGGUUUAAUUCGAUGCAACGCGAAGAACCUUACCUGCCCUUGACAUCCUGGGAAGGUCUUAGAGAUGAGACUGUGCCUUUCGGGGACGCAGUGACAGGUGCUGCAUGGCUGUCGUCAGCUCGUGUCGUGAGAUGUUCGGUUAAGUCCGGCAACGAGCGCAACCCACAUCUUUAGUUGCCAGCAGUUCGGCUGGGCACUCUAAAGAAACUGCCCGUGAUAAGCGGGAGGAAGGUGUGGAUGACGUCAAGGUCCUCAUGGGCCCUUACGGGGUUGGGGCUACACACGUGCUACAAUGGGCAGUGACAAUGGGGUUAAUCCCCAAAAACUGUCUCAGUUCGGGAUUGGGGGUCUGGCAACUCGACCCCAU
Molecule: ribosomal RNA, 517 nt
Filed under: uncultured bacterium
Lineage: Bacteria
Description: bacterial SSU rRNA
Rfam family: Bacterial small subunit ribosomal RNA
Source: RNAcentral